GCAAGUCGAGCGCGCCCUUCGGGGUGAGCGGCGGACGGGUGAGUAACCCUUGGGAAUAUGCCCUUCUCUAAGGAAUAGCCUCUGGAAACGGAGAGUAAUACCUUAUACGCCCUUCGGGGGAAAGAUUUAUCGGAGAAGGAUUAGCCCGCGUUAGAUUAGGUAGUUGGUGGGGUAAUGGCCUACCAAGCCUACGAUCUAUAGCUGGUUUGAGAGGAUGAUCAGCCACACUGGGACUGAGACACGGCCCAGACUCCUACGGGAGGCAGCAGUAGGGAAUCUUAGACAAUGGGGGCAACCCUGAUCUAGCCAUGCCGCGUGUGUGAUGAAGGCCCUAGGGUCGUAAAGCACUUUCGCCAGAGAUGAUAAUGACAGUAUCUGGUAAAGAAACCCCGGCUAACUCCGUGCCAGCAGCCGCGGUAAUACGGAGGGGGUUAGCGUUGUUCGGAAUUACUGGGCGUAAAGCGCACGUAGGCGGAUUAGUAAGUUAGAGGUGAAAUCCCAGGGCUCAACCCUGGAACUGCCUUUAAUACUGCUAGUCUUGAGUUCGAGAGAGGUAAGUGGAAUUCCGAGUGUAGAGGUGAAAUUCGUAGAUAUUCGGAG
Molecule: ribosomal RNA, 600 nt
Filed under: uncultured bacterium
Lineage: Bacteria
Description: bacterial SSU rRNA
Rfam family: Bacterial small subunit ribosomal RNA
Source: RNAcentral